UCUGUAUGUGGCAAGACAUGUACUAGCUAGGUUAUUUAGUUUUAGAAUUAUGAAUAAGUAGUUUCAUGGGGCGGGAUGUAGUCCAGUAUAUCACAUCUGUAUGUGGCAAGACAUGUACUAGCUAGGUUAUUUAGUUUUAGAAUUAUCAAUAAGUAGUUUCAUGGGGCGGGAUGUAGUCCAGUAUAUCACAUCUGUAUGUGGCAAGACAUGUACUAGCUAGGUUAUUUAGGUUUAGAAGUAGUUUCAUGGGGCGGGAUGUAGUCCAGUAUAUCACAUCUGUAUGUGGCAAGACAUGUACUAGCUAGGUUAUUUAGGUUUAGAAGUAGUUUCAUGGGGCGGGAUGUAGUCCAGUAUAUCACAUCUGUAUGUGGCAAGACAUGUGAUAGCUAGGUUAUUUAGGUUUAGAAGUAGUUUCAUGGGGCGGGAUGUAGUCCAGUAUAUCACAUCUGUAUGUGGCAAGACAUGUACUAGCUAGGUUAUUUAGUUUUAGAAUUAUGAAUAAGUAGUUUCAUGGGGCGGGAUGUAGUCCAGUAUAUCACAUCUGUAUGUGGCAAGACAUGUACUAGCUAGGUUAUUUAGUUUUA
Molecule: long non-coding RNA, 584 nt
Organism: Gigantopelta aegis
Lineage: Eukaryota; Metazoa; Mollusca; Gastropoda; Neomphalida; Peltospiridae
Exons: 4
Source: RefSeq, a predicted model, not a curated record